AUUAUCUGUAUCAUCGCGGGCGUGCUGGUGAUCGCGGUCGCUGCGGCGCUCAUUAUUUGCAUCACGAGCAAAAACAAGAACCGAGUCGUGCGUAUCAGCCCAAGACACCGGACGACAAUACAUCAAGAACGAGAAAUAUCCCGACGGCGAGCUUUCCCAAAGCCACCGCCUUAUUCAGAACUUCCACCUCAAUACGAAGGCCCUCCCAGCGCCGAAAGCCCGGUGACUCCGCUUCCGGGAUCCACGCUGCACCGCACGGAGAGCAUCCGGUCAACCAACGGAAUCAGAAUUCACGCAUCUGGCGCAAAUGACAGUCGACAAAACAAUAUCCACUGUUCCACUGACCCGCCGCCAUAUUUAAGCGUCAUUGCCGAAAGUAGAUCAAACUGGUCCGUACCUUACACAUCCGGGGAGUUGGGUGGUCCGGAAACCGAGAGCGGCAGUAUAUAUUAUGGGAAUCUGGCUUCUGGUAGUCAACAAAGAGAAGCUUAUCGGAAUGACAAUAGAAUUUCAGAGCGAACUGCACGUCGAACGAAUGCACUUGAGAACAUACGCAGUUAUCAUGUGUCGCUGUGAUCAAGCAGUCCGGUGCAAAUGAUAGCAUACAAAUGCCUCAAAUGCAUGUACAAACCGAUGAAAUAGUCUUAGCUCGAAUAAUCAUUUAGUGCCAUUUAGUUGUCCAAAUGAACGCCAAACCCACUCGAACAUGUAUAUUGAUGCCAGUUUCAAAGAUUUGGUGAACUAAAUGUAGUACCCGGUCUGUGCAUUCGUGUGACUUCAGAUUUAAGUACUAAUAUUUUACAACAUGUAACCACAUGUACUUAAUUUCCAUGCUUGUCAUUGUUAUUGAAGAUGUAUGUACAUGUAAAUCUACGAAAACGAAUAAAACAUUGUUUUGUUA
Molecule: long non-coding RNA, 901 nt
Organism: Dreissena polymorpha
Lineage: Eukaryota; Metazoa; Mollusca; Bivalvia; Myida; Dreissenidae
Exons: 2
Source: RefSeq, a predicted model, not a curated record